Molecule: transfer RNA, 88 nt
Filed under: Candidatus Roizmanbacteria bacterium
Lineage: Bacteria; Candidatus Roizmaniibacteriota
Description: tRNA-Ser
Rfam family: tRNA
About the family: Transfer RNA (tRNA) molecules are approximately 80 nucleotides in length. Their secondary structure includes four short double-helical elements and three loops (D, anti-codon, and T loops). Further hydrogen bonds mediate the characteristic L-shaped molecular structure. tRNAs have two regions of fundamental functional importance: the anti-codon, which is responsible for specific mRNA codon recognition, and the 3' end, to which the tRNAs corresponding amino acid is attached (by aminoacyl-tRNA synthetases). tRNAs cope with the degeneracy of the genetic code in two manners: having more than one tRNA (with a specific anti-codon) for a particular amino acid; and 'wobble' base-pairing, i.e. permitting non-standard base-pairing at the 3rd anti-codon position.
Source: RNAcentral
GGAAGGGUGCAGAGAGUGGUUGAAUCGGCACGCCUGGAAAGCGUGUAUGGCAGCAAUGUCAUCGCGGGUUCGAAUCCCGCCCCUUCCG